ACACGUGGGGAACCUGCCCCUAAGUCUGGGAUACCAUUUGGAAACAGGUGCUAAUACCGGAUAAUAAAGCAGAUCGCAUGAUCAGCUUUUGAAAGGCGGCGUAAGCUGUCGCUAAGGGAUGGCCCCGCGGUGCAUUAGCUAGUUGGUAAGGUAACGGCUUACCAAGGCGACGAUGCAUAGCCGAGUUGAGAGACUGAUCGGCCACAUUGGGACUGAGACACGGCCCAAACUCCUACGGGAGGCAGCAGUAGGGAAUCUUCCACAAUGGACGCAAGUCUGAUGGAGCAACGCCGCGUGAGUGAAGAAGGUUUUCGGAUCGUAAAGCUCUGUUGUUGGUGAAGAAGGAUAGAGGUAGUAACUGGCCUUUAUUUGACGGUAAUCAACCAGAAAGUCACGGCUAACUACGUGCCAGCAGCCGCGGUAAUACGUAGGUGGCAAGCGUUGUCCGGAUUUAUUGGGCGUAAAGCGAGCGCAGGCGGAAAAAUAAGUCUAAUGUGAAAGCCCUCGGCUUAACCGAGGAACUGCAUCGGAAACUGUUUUUCUUGAGUGCAGAAGAGGAGAGUGGAACUCCAUGUGUAGCGGUGGAAUGCGUAGAUAUAUGGAAGAACACCAGUGGCGAAGGCGGCUCUCUGGUCUGCAACUGACGCUGAGGCUCGAAAGCAUGGGUAGCGAACAGGAUUAGAUACCCUGGUAGUCCAUGCCGUAAACGAUGAGUGCUAAGUGUUGGGAGGUUUCCGCCUCUCAGUGCUGCAGCUAACGCAUUAAGCACUCCGCCUGGGGAGUACGACCGCAAGGUUGAAACUCAAAGGAAUUGACGGGGGCCCGCACAAGCGGUGGAGCAUGUGGUUUAAUUCGAAGCAACGCGAAGAACCUUACCAGGUCUUGACAUCUAGUGCAAUCUGUAGAGAUACGGAGUUCCCUUCGGGGACGCUAAGACAGGUGGUGCAUGGCUGUCGUCAGCUCGUGUCGUGAGAUGUUGGGUUAAGUCCCGCAACGAGCGCAACCCUUGUUAUUAGUUGCCAGCAUUAAGUUGGGCACUCUAAUGAGACUGCCGGUGACAAACCGGAGGAAGGUGGGGAUGACGUCAAGUCAUCAUGCCCCUUAUGACCUGGGCUACACACGUGCUACAAUGGGCAGUACAACGAGAAGCAAGCCUGCGAAGGCAAGCGAAUCUCUGAAAGCUGUUCUCAGUUCGGACUGCAGUCUGCAACUCGACUGCACGAAGCUGGAAUCGCUAGUAAUCGCGGAUC
This 1250-nucleotide ribosomal RNA is filed under the name Lactobacillus amylovorus. RNAcentral's name for it is "bacterial SSU rRNA". It matches the Rfam family "Bacterial small subunit ribosomal RNA", at positions 113 to 1350 of the family's 1533-position model. Lineage: Bacteria; Bacillati; Bacillota; Bacilli; Lactobacillales; Lactobacillaceae. The record is from RNAcentral.